AUUGAACGCUGGCGGCAGGCCUAACACAUGCAAGUCGAGCGAGCGGCGGACGGGUGAGUAAUGUCUGUGAAACUGCCUGAUGGAGGGGGAUAACUACUGGAAACGCUAGCUAAUCCCGCAUACCAUCAGCUCUGCCCCGGUUGGAUUAGCUAGUCGGUGGGGGAACGGCUCACCUAGGCGACGAUCCCUAGCUGGUCUGAGAGGAUGACCAGCAAAACUGGAACUGAGACACGGUCCAGACUCCUACGGGAGGCAGCAGUGGGGAAUAUUGCACAAUGGGCGAAAGCCUGAUGCAGCCAUGCCGCGUGUGUGAAGAAGGCCUUCGGGUUGGAAAGCACUUUAAGUGGGGAGGCGGUACCCGCAGAAGAAGCACCGGCUAACUCCGUGCCAGCAGCCGCGGUAAUUC
This 406-nucleotide ribosomal RNA is filed under the name uncultured bacterium. RNAcentral describes it as "partial 16S ribosomal RNA". It matches the Rfam family "Bacterial small subunit ribosomal RNA", at positions 30 to 526 of the family's 1533-position model. The record is from RNAcentral.